GAGGGUAGGGGUGAAAGGCUAAUCAAACUGAGAAAUAGCUCGUACUCCCCGAAAUGUUUUUAGGAACAGUGUGGAGGUUGAGUUUGUUAGAGGUAGAGCUACCAAUUGGACUAGGGGGAGUCACAUCCUACCAAAUCCAGAUGAACUCCGAAUGCUAACAAAUAUACUCUGCAAUGAGGGCGCGGGUGCUAAGGUCCGUGUCCGAGAGGGAAAGAACCCAGACCUACAGCUAAGGUCCCAAAAUCUAUACUAAGUUGAACUAAGGUGGUUCAGUUGCUGAGACAGCCAGGAGGUUAGCUUGGAAGCAGCUAUUCCUUUAAAGAGUGCGUAACAGCUCACUGGUCGAGCGACAGAGCAUCGAUAAUAAUCGGGCAUCAAGUAUAGUACCGAAGCUUAGGAUUGUAGCAAUACAGUGGUAGGGGAGCAUUCUAACAGCGGAGAAGUCGUGUGGUAAUGCACGGUGGAGCGGUUAGAAAAGCAAAUGUAGGCAUAAGUAACGAUAAGGCAGGUGAGAAACCUGCCCACCGAUAGACUAAGGGUUCCGCGGCAAUGUUAAUCAACCGCGGGUAAGUCGGGUCCUAAGACGAAGCCGAGAGGCAUAGCCGAUGGCCAACUGGUUAAUAUUCCAGUACUACCGUAAAGAGCGAUGUGGAGAAGGAGUAGUGAAAGUUCCGCGAUCUGACGAAAUAGAUCGUUAAAAGGCGUAGGUAUAGAGUUUGUUGGCAAAUCCGCAGACUUUGCUGAAACCCAAUAGUACCAGGAGGCUUCGGCCAAAUGGAUAGAGAACCUAAUCAGACUUCCGAGAAAAUCUGCUAAGCAUAUUUUUAUGGUACCCGUACCGCAAACCGACACAGGUAGUCAAGGAGAGAAUCCUGAGGUGCUCGAGUGAAUCAUGGCUAAGGAACUCGGCAAAAUAACCCUGUAACUUCGGGAGAAGGGGUGCCUCGCUGUAGCAAUACAGCAGGUCGCAGAGAAAUGGCCCAGGCGACUGUUUAACAAAAACACAUGGCUUU
This 1013-nucleotide ribosomal RNA is filed under the name Archangium gephyra. RNAcentral's name for it is "bacterial LSU rRNA". It matches the Rfam family "Bacterial large subunit ribosomal RNA", at positions 811 to 1824 of the family's 2925-position model. Lineage: Bacteria; Pseudomonadati; Myxococcota; Myxococcia; Myxococcales; Archangiaceae. The record is from RNAcentral.